Molecule: long non-coding RNA, 998 nt
Organism: Aquila chrysaetos chrysaetos
Lineage: Eukaryota; Metazoa; Chordata; Aves; Accipitriformes; Accipitridae
Exons: 2
Source: RefSeq, a predicted model, not a curated record
AGGAAGGAACCGCUCAAUUACUUCCUAUGAACCGUUACUUAAAGAAGACCCACAACUAAACCACUAGAGACAAGUACCUUUCUGGCAAUGCUGUGAGAGCAAACAUCAUCCUGAAGGUGGUAAAACUAGAACAAAGACUUGAAAAUAUGACAAAGCUGUAGAGUGUGAUCAGAGGGCUAGAAAAUAUGACCUCUGAGUCAAGAUUGAAAGAACUGUCUGUCUUCAGUGCAUGAAAGACUGAAGGGAAGUGCAGUAACACUCCUGAAAUAUGUAAAAGGGUAUGCAAAGGGGCAGGUAAUAAAUUUUUUCCUUCACUAUGGGAUAGGACAAGAAGUAAUGCACUUGAUUUACAGCAAGGAAGAUUCAUGUUCAACAUUACUAAAACUUUUGUAUGGAAAGGACAGUUAAGCACGGCAAACAGAUCACUUUGGAGAAGACUGGAAUCUUGAGCAAUAGAGCCUUCUCUGAGAAGAGAAAUAUCCUGAUUCCCAUGAAACCUUCCCCAUGAAGAUUUUCUUGCAUUCAAGCUAGAAAUGUGGUCAGAGAGACACGGCUGCACCAUGACCCAGAGCAAGCAUAUGAACUCAAAUCUCCAACAUCUGCUAGGCUAAUAACUAUUCUGAAAUGUACUUGCCUCUCUUCCCUGAGCUCCCACAUCUUCUCCCUCAAUGACAAAAAUCGGCUUCCACGCAGCUCUUUUCUGAAUUUCCUCCAAACACGAGGCACUCUCUGAGUGUCCUAGCCAGUGUUACACCUAUAUUUGCAGAUUUAUCUAGCUACUUGAUCACAGCUGAUUUUGCAUUCCUGAAUAAUAGAAGCGUUUUUACCUUACCUGUUUCAAGCACUGUUCAGCACUUACUGGCUUCAAAGUGAAGCUGAAUCCUGCCACCUUGUGCUCAAGAAAAUUAGCACAACUCUUUAUUUUGGGAAGGAGGAGGAAGGGAGAAGGAAAAGUUAGCUGUAACUACCAUAUUUCUAAUAAACAAGGAAUUAAAUGA